UGGCGGACGGGUGAGUAAUGUCUGGGAAACUGCCCGAUGGAGGGGGAUAACUACUGGAAACGGUAGCUAAUACCGCAUAACGUCGCAAGACCAAAGAGGGGACCUUCGGGCCUCUUGCCAUCGGAUGUGCCCAGAUGGGAUUAGCUAGUAGGUGGGGUAACGGCUCACCUAGGCGACGAUCCCUAGCUGGUCUGAGAGGAUGACCAGCCACACUGGAACUGAGACACAGUCCAG
This 234-nucleotide ribosomal RNA is filed under the name uncultured bacterium. Its description in RNAcentral is "partial 16S ribosomal RNA". It matches the Rfam family "Bacterial small subunit ribosomal RNA", at positions 96 to 334 of the family's 1533-position model. The record is from RNAcentral.